Long non-coding RNA from Oncorhynchus tshawytscha (Chinook salmon), 1570 nucleotides. The record is from Ensembl. Lineage: Eukaryota; Metazoa; Chordata; Actinopteri; Salmoniformes; Salmonidae.
GUAGGCUCAGGGCCUUUACCCUCGGAGAGUGGGCUCAGGGCCUUUACCCUCGGAGAGUGGGCUCAGGGCCGCGGGGCCUUUACCCUCGGAGAGUAGGCUCAGGGCCACGGGGCUUUUUUUCUCCUGUUUUUGUCCUUUUUAGUGUUUUGAUCUUGUUCCUCCAGGCCUCUGGGAUGUAUUCUGGAUGGGUGUGAUGAUGUCAUAAUCUGUCGACCUCUAGUAUGAUGUCAGUCUGUAUUGACUACUGUAUGUGUCUGUGUGUCUCGUCUCAAUAAAGCUGCAAUGUCUCCGUAUCUCAUCCCUCCAGGUGAUGCCUUCCCAGCAGCCUCCAGUCCCUUCCUGCCGGGCUAUUCCGGCCCCUCCCCCCUAACCUCUGACCCAGCCUACAGAUCACCCAAUCAGAUGGCUCAGCUCUGGGCCUCACACGCUGCUGCCCACGAAGGCUACGCCCCUCUCCCAGGCGGUCUGUACCCCAGCCCCUACCACCUCCCCCUGGGUAACCUGGAGCCUCCUCCCCCCUCGCUGGGCUUGGCUCAGCACCACCACCUCUACAACGCACCACACCAAGGUAGGCUAGUUGAGAACAAGUUCUCAUUUACAACUGCGACCUGGCCAAGAUCAAGCAAAGCAGUGAGACACAGACAACAACAACAGAGUUCCACACAAACAAACGUGCAGUCAAUAACACUAACGAGAAGUCUAUGUACGGUGUGUGCAGAUGUAGAAGAGUAGGGAGAGAGGUUCUUUCUGCCGGUGUCGUUACCCCAGCCGCCUCUUCAACCCUCCUCCGUCCCCCCCAGUUCCACCCCCCAGAGUAGCUCCCGGGAGGGGGGCAGGGACCGAGACAUACUCUACCGCGAGGAGAGGGAGAGAGAGGAGCCUCAGGAGGGGGGCAGAGCCCGAGACAGACUCUACCGUGUGGCGAGGGAGAGAGAGGAGCCCCAGGAGGGGGGCAGGGACCGAGACAGACUCUGCUGUGAGGAGAGAGAGGAGCCUCAGGAGGGGGGCAGGGACCGAGACAGACUCUACCACGAGGAGAGAGAGGAGCCCCGGGAGGGGGGCAGAGACAGACUCUACCGCGAGGAGAGAGGGCGAGGCGAGAGGGAGCGGUCGAGAGAGGAGCCUCGUCCAUACAGUGUGGUAGAUCUGACACAGGAUGGGAGGAGUGGAGAGAGAGAACGCCACAGAGAACGAGAGACUGAGCGAGACAGAGACCGAGAGAGAGAGGUUCUCCUCCACCACCCCUCUGCUUCUCGACCCCCCAGGGCUCCUCCUCUUCUGGGCGUUACCCAGAGACUGAUGACACACCCACUCGCUCCCCCAACCCUAACCCCAGCCCCCACACACACACAGACAGGCUGAGGAAGACUGAAUCUACCUACAGCGGUGCACUCCUUCCUGGCCCCGCCUACCCUGCACACCGGGAGCCUAUCAGGGAACAGCGUGUGAGCGCGCCCACUUACGUGCCUUCUGUGGAGGUCUAUGAUGAGCAGGUCGGCCCGAUCCAGAUCGCAUCGCAGGCCAGGGACAAACAGGACAAACUGAAAGAGAGAGAGAAAGAGAGAGAGAA